RNAcentral lists this ribosomal RNA (313 nucleotides) under uncultured bacterium. RNAcentral describes it as "bacterial SSU rRNA". It matches the Rfam family "Bacterial small subunit ribosomal RNA", at positions 28 to 369 of the family's 1533-position model. The record is from RNAcentral.
GACGAACGCUGGCGGCAGGCCUAACACAUGCAAGUCGAACGCUCGUAGCAAUACGAGAGUGGCAGACGGGUGAGUAACACGUGGGAACCUUCCCUAUGGUUCGGAAUAGCUCAGGGAAACUUGGGGUAAUACCGGAUAAGCCCUUCGGGGGAAGAUUUAUCGCCAUUGGAUGGGCCCGCGUCGGAUUAGCUAGUUGGUGAGGUAACGGCUCACCAAGGCAACGAUCCGUAGCUGGUCUGAGAGGAUGAUCAGCCACACUGGACUGAGACACGGCCCAGACUCCUACGGGAGGCAGCAGUGGGGAAUAUUGGAC